CCAGGAAGCAGAAAUCAUUGACAAACUUUGUAAUCAAUGAGGAAACGGACAGUUCUUCCCGCCCAAAAAAGAAAUCAAAUAAUAAAAAGGUGAAGACAAAUGAAGAGGAUUUUGCCAUUAAAAUCAUCAAUGAUAUAUGCAAAAAUUUCCAACUGGAUGUUAAAGAAGUUCUAGCAACUCUGGGAUCAACCAAUGGUGAUGUGAACCAAGCCAUUUCUUACAUCAAAUUUGGACCUGAAUUAUCAGGUGUGUUACCAUGGACACAGGAGGAAGAUGCCAUUAUUUCAUCAACAGAUGAGCAGCAAUUUAGUGGAAUUGUUCAAAAGCAUGGGCAAGUUGCUGUAGCCGAAAGACUUCAAUUUCUGGAGAAUUUGUAAAUGUUCCCUCAUGUUCAUCCCCCGCAUCCCAAGGAACAACAGCAACCUUCACCAUCUGUAUUAUAUAUCUGUCUCUGUUUUUAUUGAGAGAGAGAGAGUGUGUAGAUGUGUGUGUGUGUGUAACAGUUGUUGUGGGAGAGAGUUAUAACAACGACUGGUAUGGACUGAGUCCUCAGCUAUAGUGCAUGUAUGUGUGUAUGGUUAUAUGUAUAUAUUUGUGUGUGAGUGUGCUUAUAUGUAUUUAUUUUUUAUAUGUUUUUUUUUUUUUUUUUUUUUUUUUUUUUUUUUUUUUUCAUGAAUGAGCUGCUCCACAUUGGUCACCGGAGUGAUAUUUGGUCACUUUACAGAGUGUCGGUUAGGUGUCUGGAAUGGGACGGCUUACCUCAUGGGCAGGUAGAAGCUCUUUAACCUUGGUUGGUAAUCUACCUAGGAGAAGGAAAUCUCAGAAAUAAAACCUGAGGCCUUGGAAGUUCCUGGUUUUGUCAAUUCUCUUGUCACACCGGUGAAAAUCUUCUUGGGCUAAUAAGUGGGGGUAGUGCAGUGCAAGCUACACCCACUAAAAAUUAUUCAUCUGCACAGGUACUUCCUGUACUCCAAAUCUUAGUAAAAUCAUUCAAUUGGUUGGUUGGCAGAAAC
Octopus bimaculoides (California two-spot octopus) is the source of this 1013-nucleotide long non-coding RNA. The record is from RefSeq and is a predicted model, not a curated record. NCBI's taxonomy places the organism in Eukaryota, Metazoa, Mollusca, Cephalopoda, Octopoda, Octopodidae.